UACGGGGGGGGGCAAGCGUUGUUCGGAAUUACUGGGCGUAAAGGGCUCGUAGGUGGCCAACUAAGUCAGACGUGAAAUCCCUCGGCUUAACCGGGGAACUGCAUCUGAUACUGGAUGGCUUGAGUUUGGGAGAGGGAUGCGGAAUUCCAGGUGUAGCGGUGAAAUGCGUAGAUAUCUGGAGGAACACCGGUGGCGAAGGCGGCAUCCUGGACCAACACUGACACUGAGGAGCGAAAGCCAGGGGAGCAAACGGG
This 254-nucleotide ribosomal RNA is filed under the name uncultured bacterium. Its description in RNAcentral is "partial 16S ribosomal RNA". It matches the Rfam family "Bacterial small subunit ribosomal RNA", at positions 524 to 776 of the family's 1533-position model. The record is from RNAcentral.